This 369-nucleotide transfer-messenger RNA is filed under the name Spirochaetales bacterium. It matches the Rfam family "transfer-messenger RNA". From Rfam's summary of the family: Bacterial tmRNA, also known as 10Sa RNA or SsrA, is named for its dual tRNA and mRNA-like properties. Its role is to liberate the mRNA from a stalled ribosome. To accomplish this part of the tmRNA is used as a reading frame that ends in a translation stop signal. The record is from RNAcentral. Lineage: Bacteria; Pseudomonadati; Spirochaetota; Spirochaetia; Spirochaetales.
GGGGGUGUGUUGGUUUCGACUGGCGUUAGUUGAGCCGACAGUUGCAAGCGGAGCGCCAACUCCUAAAACUAGCGAAAAACAAAACUGCCAAAAAAGAAGACGAAGUCUCCUUCGACGCAGAAUACGCUCUCGCUGCCUAAGCAGUAGGAACGUACAGGAACUGAAAGUGCCGCUCUUAACUUUCAGUAUCCUGUAAACAACAAGGGCUAACCCGAGGGAGUGCCGGUGACCCGAGGGGACAUCUUACCGGAGUAGGAAGCGUAACGUCGGCCGCUGGUCCGAUCGCUUUUGAAUCAAAGAACAGCGGCUAAGCUUGUAGACGCUGCCGGGCGGCACGUUAGGACGGGGGUUCGACUCCCCCCACCUCCA